AACAUCGCGCACCUGCGGGAACCUGCGGAAGGAUCAUUAAUGAUUGGUGGCUGUUGCUGACUAGUGUUUCUAGUAUGUGCACGCCACACCUUCAAUCCCACUUACACCUGUGCACCUUCUGUAAUAGAUCUAGGUGGAUACGGAGAUAUGAAAGUUUGCGCUCUCGUACUCUGUUGAAGCAGUCUACUACGUUUUUUUACACACACACAAUAGUCAUUGAAUGUAUUUUUUAUUCUUAUG
Molecule: unclassified non-coding RNA, 240 nt
Filed under: soil metagenome
Description: partial contains 5.8S ribosomal RNA, internal transcribed spacer 2, and large subunit ribosomal RNA
Source: RNAcentral